GCUGGCGGCAUGCUUAACACAUGCAAGUCGAACGAAGUCUUCGGACUUAGUGGCGCACGGGUGAGUAACAUGUGGGAAUUUACCUAAAGGUUCGGAAUAACUACGGGAAACUGUAGCUAAUACCGGAUGUGUCUGCAAAGAGAAAGAUUUAUCGCCUUUAGAUGAGCCCGCACUAGAUUAGUUUGUUGGUGAGGUAAGAGCUCCACCAAGACUACGAUCUAUAGCUGAUUUGAGAGGAUGAUCAGCCACACUGGGACUGAGACACGGCCCAGACUCCUACGGGAGGCAGCAGUGGGGAAUAUUGGACAAUGGGGGCAACCCUGAUCCAGCAAUGCCGCGUGAGUGAAGAAGGCCCUCGGGUUGUAAAACUCUUUCAUCAGUGAAGAUAAUGACGUUAACUGAAGAAGAAGCUCCGGCUAACUCCGUGCCAGCAGCCGCGGUAAUACGGAGGGGGCUAGCGUUGUUCGGAAUUACUGGGCGUAAAGCGUAUGUAGGCGGAUCAAAAAGUUAGAUGUGAAAUCCCUGGGCUCAACCCAGGAACUGCAUUUAAAACUAAUGAUCUAGAAUUUGGUAGAGGAUAGUAGAAUUUCCAGUGUAGAGGUGAAAUUCGUAGAUAUUGGAAAGAAUACCAGUGGCGAAGGCGACUAUCUGGGCCAUUUUUGACGCUGAGAUACGAAAGCGUGGGUAGCGAACAGGAUUAGAUACCCUGGUAGUCCACGCAGUAAACGAUGAGUGCUAGUCGCUGGGUCAUUAGACUCGGUGUCGCAGCUAACGCAUUAAGCACUCCGCCUGGGAAGUAC
RNAcentral lists this ribosomal RNA (800 nucleotides) under uncultured Alphaproteobacteria bacterium. RNAcentral describes it as "bacterial SSU rRNA". It matches the Rfam family "Bacterial small subunit ribosomal RNA", at positions 35 to 883 of the family's 1533-position model. The record is from RNAcentral. Lineage: Bacteria; Pseudomonadati; Pseudomonadota; Alphaproteobacteria.